UUUGAAGAUAAUGUUAUCGAAAAAAAUAAAAUUUAUAACAAUGAGGAAAACAAACUCACCAAUUCAAAUUUAUACUCAUGUAUGAGAAUUAAUUCUUUGCAUUCCAAUAAAAAAUAGUUAUGAGAUAAUCAAAUAAACAAUGACAACCUUAUGUCCAACAUAGAACAGAAGAACAAAAAGUAAAAUUGAAAAACAAAAAAAAUCUCUAUUAAAAGUGAGUAGCAAUCCAAACUAACAUGGAUAUCAUACUUUUACAUAUGUUUGUUGAAUUAUCCAAUCAUGCCAUCUUAAAGUAGUGGAGGCGGAUCACGACCAAUAUUCUCAAAGAUCAAAUCACACAUGAAUUCUUCAUCAAUCAAGCUCAUAAAUACUUUAGCCAGACUCACGUCCGAUCGAAAUACUUUCAUGACUUGCAUUAUGUCACGCUUCUCAAUGUUCAUGCUUUGUAAUUUUUGUAGAACCAAUUGUCAAUUGAUGUGAUUUAGCGUAUCUAACAUUACUUGAAUCUCCAUAGCAUUAGCAAUUUUUUUUGACGAUUCAGCAAUGCUAGACAGGGCUAUGAGACUCUCAUCACUAGGUUGGCUACGUCGUUGUCGUCGAAUUUUGUUAGUUCCUCCGUCAACGUUAUGCUUAGGAGCUUGGACUGGGCUUGGAUCUCUAUCCUCGUUUUGAUCGUCAACUUCAUUCAAAUUNNNNN
This 697-nucleotide long non-coding RNA is filed under the name Olea europaea (common olive). Its description in RNAcentral is "long non-coding RNA (OEUR_LNC010628)". Lineage: Eukaryota; Viridiplantae; Streptophyta; Magnoliopsida; Lamiales; Oleaceae. The record is from RNAcentral.